CCUACGGGUGGCAGCAGUCGAGAAUCAUUCACAAUGGGGGAAACCCUGAUGGUGCGACGCCGCGUGGGGGAAUGAAGGUCUUCGGAUUGUAAACCCCUUUCAUGUGGGAGCAAAUUAAAAAGAUAGUACCACAAGAGGAAGAGACUGCGAACUCUGUGCCAGCAGCCGCGGUAAUACAGAGGUCUCAAGCGUUGUUCGGAAUCACUGGGCGUAAAGGGUGCGUAGGCUGUUUCGUAAGUCGUGUGUGAAAGGCGCGGGCUCAACCCGGGUACGGCACAUGAUACUGCGGGACUAGAGUAAUGGAGGGGGAACCGGAAUUCUUGGUGUAGCAGUGGAAUGCGCAGAUAUCGAGAGGAACACUAGUGGCGAAGGCGGGUUCCUGGACAUUAACUGACGCUGAGGCACGAAGGCCAGGGGAGCGAAAGGGAUUAGAUACCCCAGUAGUC
This 446-nucleotide ribosomal RNA is filed under the name uncultured bacterium. RNAcentral's name for it is "partial 16S ribosomal RNA". It matches the Rfam family "Bacterial small subunit ribosomal RNA", at positions 338 to 795 of the family's 1533-position model. The record is from RNAcentral.